UAGCUCAGUUGGUAUAGCAUGAUGCUUGCAACGCUAGUGUUGUGGGUUCAAUUCCCAC
This is a non-coding RNA of Salmo salar (Atlantic salmon), 58 nucleotides long. The record is from Rfam. NCBI's taxonomy places the organism in Eukaryota, Metazoa, Chordata, Actinopteri, Salmoniformes, Salmonidae.